This 43070-nucleotide long non-coding RNA is filed under the name Triticum aestivum (bread wheat). Its description in RNAcentral is "long non-coding RNA (TAES_LNC019982)". The record is from RNAcentral. Lineage: Eukaryota; Viridiplantae; Streptophyta; Magnoliopsida; Poales; Poaceae.
GAGCUGUGCCUGCGCGAGAUAGCUAGCUAGACGCGAGACAAUGUCGUGAUUUCCCUGCGCUCGGCCAUGCAGCGUCUAGCCAAGCGAGCGGAACAUGAAGCGCGUACGAUGACGGGAAGUACAAGUCAUACGACGUCAAGGUGGAAAGCAUGAGAAAGUGACAACACAGAUGAAUUGCUAGGGGCGAAGAGGAGAUGUGGCAAUACCGAUGGAUCACUAGGGCCAUGCGAGUAUUUGCUUCUCCCGUUACAGUGCACAGACACAUUUGCUAGUUAAGCAUAAUAGAAAUAACUUGUCUAUUAUAGUAGGAACAGAAAAAGAGAUACAGUACGUGCGUGGUGCACUAACAGAAAACCAUGCAUGGCCGUGGAUGCCCCUCCGAUCCCGAAGCAUUCAUUGCUUAUUACUUCCUCCAUUCGAAAAUACUUAUCGUCAAAAUGGAUGUAUCUAGUACAAAGUAAAUCAUAACAUAGACGAUGGACUUUGUUUAUUUAGUACGCAUAUAGCGGCAGCCAUAUGCAUGCAUUACUUAUGUGAUCUUUUCUUCGCUGGUGUCGAUGUCGACAUCAGUGGACUUGGCACCCCGAUAGACGCCAUCAUGCAACUGGCGAGGGGGAACUACUUCCCCACUGAGCAGAACAUCCUUCUGCAUGUACGAGAAGGGAACAUCAACGACGUCCUCUCUUGAAAAUAUGCUGCAUGUCACCUUAGUCAUGGGAGGCACAGGAUAUGAGUAUUCUAUGGAGCGCUUAGUUUCUUGUAUCUUGGUUUCACCCCAAUUAUACUCUCCAUGAAAGUCAAGAUGACUUUCAACAUCGCCUUCCAUCAGGAAUGGCAAGCCGGCUGACAACUUGGCCUUGAUACCUACGUCGAGUGUUAACUUGGCAUCCCAGGUACUCUCUAUUCUGUCAUACAGUUCGAUGGUGGUUUGGGCGUUGUGGGUUUCAUGUGUUCUGUUGGUAGCAAGCACAAGGGUCCUGGAGACAUUUUUGUUGGUGCUGGUCUUCUUUCCCCCAACGCGGUACUCGACAUCAUAGAUUUCUCGAGAACGGACCGGUUCUUCAAUCUGGAACGUUGCUUCUUUCGUAUUGCCAUCGUCGGAAGAAGCAUGGAAGUAAUCUAUCUUGUCGUCGAUGGUUACCCUCCUGCAAAAUUUGCCGUUGCCAUGGGAUAGGACUGCAAUGUAGUUGUCAUCCUUGAUGACCACCUUGAACAAACAGUCAACCAUUCCGUAGUCCCUGCUGCCUAUGUCGGCCAUCAUCCAAUUUACAGCAUGGCCACCUUCAAGGCCACGCCUCCAAUACACUUUUGAGGCAACUUGUUUUAUAUAGACGACGCCAUACUCGUCGGUAUAGGUCUCUUGGAUCACAGUUGGAUCUGCAAUAUCAGACGAUGAAAACACCAGAAAGAUAUCAACUGAUGUUUCGUGUGCUGUGAGGUACUUGCCAUUGUCGCCUUUGAAGACAACAUACUUGGGCAGUUCCUUGUCGUGUGACAAGCGACGAACACUGAAGAGACUCAUAUUAGAACUAUCAGCUUCUAGGUUAUCUCUUAGUUGCAAGUAGGCUUUGCCUGGACCAGACACAGAAAGCAUGCAAGCAUACUUCUUUUGCUGGGAAUGAAAGAACCUGUUGUACAGAAAUAAAAAAAUUGUAUUAGAUCAUGCCUUAAUUCCAAGUAAGUUGCAUGCAUGGCAGCCAUUGCCAUCUAUCUAAGUGGAAACUUCAAAGGAAUCCAUACGUUACAAAAAAAAUCAUAUACUAAUGUGCAUGUAAAUUAGAAGUGGUAAAUACGAAGAAAAGGGAGUGGGGAGUUAGAGCAUCUCUACUCGAUCUCUAAAAAUUUAGGCCCUUAUACGGGCGGCCCCUUAUAUCCUAACUCCUUAAUCGGUUAAAUAAUGACGGUUCCAAGCCAAACCCCUAACUUAACUCCAUAUAGCUUCGAAAAUGUUAACGCCCACACGUGUGGGCGUUUGCACCCCUCCAUCACCACUCAUUUUGCCACGUAUGAAUAGAUGACAUCAGCAGAAUUUUUUUUGGUUUCAGCUUAAAAAUGUUGUAUCUCCUAAAUAAAAAAGCGAACUAAAAAUCCGUUUUCACCAUUAAAUCCGUCUCGACGAGAUCUUCAAAACUAGACCCCAUGUUGAUAUGUUUCGACGAAAUUUUUUUUUGCCCAGAAGUUGCCAUGAUGUUUACACUGUAGUUGCCAUAGGGCUUAAACUAAAGUGGCCAUGUGACAAUUUUAGUUUGUAGAUCAUGGCAAUUUUAGUAUUUUGAUGAUGGCAAUUCCAGUACUUUAACCAUGAAAAUUAUUUUUUGUAUAAACCAUGGCAAUUUUACGUGCAUGUAUCAUGGCAAUUUUAGUUUAUGGUUCAUGGCAAGUCUAUUUUCUUAAUUCCCCGUUUUAUAAAUGUCAAAAAUUACUUUUAAAUGUAGAAGAAAAUAGCUGAAACAUAUCAUGGCAAUUUCAGUGUAAAUAUCAUGGCAAUUCAUAUCCAAUAGACAUAGCAACUUUUAAUCCAAAAAAAAAUCAUCAAAACAUAUCAACAUGGGAUCUAGUUUCGAAUAUCUCAUCGCGAGAGAUUUAAUAGUGAAAACGGAUCUUCAAUCGGAUUUUUCGUUUAAAAGAUAAAACAUUUUAAAAACUGAAAAUCCAAAAAGAUUCCUACAUGCAUGCAUGCGAUGACGUGGCAAUCUGUUUGCAUUAGAGACGUGUGGUGCGUCUCCCUUCCUGCCACACGUGUGGCAGUUAGGGGCGUCCUAUAGCUUACAUUUGGCUCAUGCAUUUCGUCAAACACUUGCAAUGCAACACCUCGAUCUUCUCUACGACGUCACUGGUGCGCCUGCAUCGCCACCAUCUGCCUUUGCCAACCUCAUUCCCGGUCAUUGGCAACAUCCCUGACAUGUUCCAUGGAGGCGAGCUGCACCGUGUGCUCAAUCGCCAGUCAGUGUCCUACGGCCCUGUCAUGUCUUCCAUGAAGCUCGACAUGGCAAGCACCGUCGUAUUGUCGUCCCAUGUUGCAGCGCACGAGGCGCUCCACAAGGAGGGUGUCCUCUCCUCCCUGUACGUCCCCGACAACGCCAGUGUAAUGGACCACACCGACAUUUUCAUGGUGAGGGCGUACCUUGGUGAGCACCCUACUCUUCAAAUCCCCAUGGCUCGACGCUAGUCGCGCCAUCCAUGAGCGCAAGCCCGGGAGCUCGUUGAACACUUCCACAUGAGCUUUGUGUUCCCGGUGCAUAUCGCGCUCUCUCUGUUGAGCAUCGUGCUCAAUUUGAUGUCCAUCGCUCUAUGCUCGGAGGCGAGCCAGGGCCGGUGACCAGGCAGGAGUUCAUGGAGUUGAACGCAGACUCUGUUGUGGAGACUCGUCGGCAGGGGGAAGAAGACAAAGGAGAUGGGAGAGAGAGAGAGAUAUAGGAGGCGCGCAAGAGGCAGAGAAAAAACUGAGGGACGGGUGGCGGGAGGAGCCAGGGCGGACGCGCGGAAGGAAAGGGGAGGUGUGGGCUAUACCUGGCCAUACCUCCGGCUGUAGAUGCUCGAAUAAUAUAUAAAAAGGGACUUUUUACGGUACAUCUUACUACCAGAAACAAUGGGUAGUAUAUAAGCGAUCCGAUGGUCAUUAUUAAUCUCAAUUUUUUUCUCUGCAGGACAUUUUGGUAAUUGCCUGUUAGAAGAUUUGUCCUUUCUUGCUGUUAUCAUUGUAAUGAUUAAUAAGUAUUCUAUAUGAGUAAUUGCAAUUGACACCUGAAGAAAAGAAUUAUCCCUCGUCUUAGUUCGUAGGUUGGCCCCUCGUUCUCACACAGUGCGUAAGUUUACCCCUCAUCUCCGUACAGCUCGUCAUUAUUCUGUCGACGCAGGCGCUCCAGCAGCCGACGGGCGCGCAGGGCCGGCCGCUGCGUCUCCCGGCCUGUAGUCGCCACCUCAAGAUAUUCGACGGCGCAGCCGCCCCACGGCCCUUGUUUCGGCUAGUUCCUACCGAGAUCGAUCCAUCGGCCGGCUGCUCGUAGCUGUGUACGUGCAUCUUCAAGCCAGGGGAAGAAUCGAUCAAGGAGCCUACUAGUCUGCUUCGUGUAUACGUCUACCUCUCCGACGGAACCGAUUAGCUCUCUCUCCGUUGUCGAGGUCGAUCGGGCCUGUGCCAACAGCCCUCUCUCCGUGGCACGUUCUUCAGACAGCGCCUUAGAUCGGUUCCUCCGCACGUCGUAGUGGAGAUCCCUCACAUAUAUAGCUGGCCCUGCUGGUGCUCCCAAGACGCCAUAGCUGCGUUUUUCCUAAAUAGAACUACCGAAAUUGUCCCUGAUCACAAAUUAUACUAUCAAAAAUCUGCAGUAGUAUUUUUAAAUCUGGGCUGUCCAAACACAUAAAAUAAACGGCCAAUAUUAGUCUGAUGUACUGUAAAAUGUCUCUAUAAAAACCAGAUAAUGUGCCGAGAAGAAAUACUAUGUCGAAAUCUUAUGAAAGUGUACGGGAUAAUGUAGAGUAGUAUAUAUGUAUACACAUUGCUGAAACAUAACCAUAUUUUGCUGAAACAGCACUAUGAAUUAGGCAGUCAAGAAAAUGGGGAGGGCCAAAUAUAGGGAAGUGACAAGACAGACAGAAGAAGAUAUACUCCAGUGAAGAGUACCUGGCGGUGCGUUUGGUGGUAGAGUCAGGCCUGAAGUCGAACAAGGUGCAGGACGGCUUGGUCAGGUCCUCCUCCGGUUCAUCUGCGGUGGCACAGAUGAACCAGGUACUGCCGCCGCCGCCGGGCGCGCGUAGCUGCUGGGCGACCCAGUAUUUGUCGCCGUCGGAGCAUCUGACGUGCAGGAGCCCGUCGUGUUUCUUGGACGGCUCCAGGUAGAACUUCUCGGCUGGGGUGGUGGCGCGGAGGACGACGUAGCUUAGCUCGAUGUAAGUGGCGGCCGUUGCUUGGUCAUAGACGGAGCGCAGGCACCCCGGACGAGACGGAUCCCCCAAGGUAGCGCACACCGGAGGGCCCGAGAGAGGAAAUACCACGGGCGGUAGCACCACUGAAGGAUCAGCCAUCCAGGGGCCUGCAUUUCUCCAGAUACUCCUAUCCAUAGUAUUUCUCGCGUGCCGUGCGCUUGUGAAUUUUCAAGCUGGGGUGCUCAGACUAGCAGCCUGGCUAGGUAUUUUAUAGCAGGAGCUAGCCCCAUCGCCCGGGACCAUUAGCGCAAAUAUAUUUUUCGAUAAAGGGCGGUUUUAUUAGAGCAAAAAUAUAUAUGGACCCUAAUAAGUGUUACAUGUGUGGCACGAAUACAUUACAUUUUUAAAUGUUUUUUAUGACAAAUUUAGUGACGUGAGGAUGGCAAAUAUGAUUUUUUUAAAUGUCAACUUUAACUGUAAAAAACAAACAUAGAAUGCUUCAUGUCACACGUGUGUCACUUAUCAUUUGGGAUAUAUAUUAAGAGGCUUAGACUAUCCAUAGUCUAAUUCGCAUCACGGGCUGCACCGACCGCUACUUUCGAUCGCGUGCGCUAUAUAGCAGUUUUAUCUAGCGUGCGGCUUAUUUAGGGCAUCCGUUGAAGAUGCUCUGACCCCGCAAAUCAAGUGCGUUCAAUUCGCGUCACGGGGUAGUACACAAGUUUUAGAUUCUUGCAACAUUGAAGCGACGUUGGGCCACUCCUGAUUUAAUCUUUCAGAUCUGGAUCUUGGCCUUGUCCUUCCUAGCGGCCGGUAGGCAAACAAAACGUGGCAGCGUUUUUGUUUGUGGCAAUCAUUUGUGGUCACUGCCUCGCCUGGCCAACUUUGUCCACGGCAGACUCAAACAAAUGCCGGACAGAUGCUCCCGCGUUACUCGUGUCCGAUCGACCAGCUAGGCUCAAAUUCACAUGCUCUUUUUUGAAGCUUUUCUCUCAUCAAUUUGGGCAGCAAGACGUAAGGACAUUCACCAAAGUAGUAUAUUUCAGAGUGUUUUUUUUAGAAAAGGAGGAUGUACCUCCGGGGCCUCCGCAUAUGUACGAUGCAUGCAGCUAGACCUGUAGCGCGCCUCGGCGUGCGGUGCCGGGUAUUGCCGAUUGUGCCUAAGUGUGCAUGCCCGGCAUACUGUAAUUGUAAUUUUGCGGUAAGCUUAGCAUGUUUUUUUUAGCACGCCCAUGAUAAAGCACAAGUAUUUAGCUUAUUCAAGAGCAAUUAGGGCAUAAAGUUCAGUGUUAAAGAGUAGCAAAAGUGACCAAAGUGACAGCGGGAUAAAUACAGAGCAAGCAACACAAUUAGAAACCAGAGACAACGCUAACACAGAAUGCUUUAAGUACGGGAUUUUCAUACAAAGCAAUUAAGGUCUGAGAGAACAUCCAUCAGUUUUGAUGCAACAUGAUAUUCAGAGCAAGGCAUUCGUACAGAAGGUGAAUGGUCGAAGAGAAAUUAACUGAAACGGCUUGGUAGCUAGUGGUAUAAUACAUAGUUGGGCAGUAGCAUCGCCGAAGCAAGUGGUUCAUAAAACACUGGUUUGUAGUACUGAUUACAAAUAACGUACAAUAAGGCUGGACAGGUGCACACUGUACUAAUUCAGAACACUCUUGUUGCACUGAAUAAGGCUGGACUGCAGCAAUCAUGCGUCGUGAUUCAGAGACAGUCAAGCAAAGUAUGAUACUUGAGCAAAGCUUGCUGAUAAACCAAAAGGGCCUGGAUUUCUUCCUGUGCCCGAAGCAUCAAACAUUCUCGUCGUAGAGAAAGUCUUCAACAUCGAAGCGGCUUGCACCACUCGUCCUCAAUAUAAUGUACAUGAAGCAACAUAUAGGUUAGGCACAAGUAGUUGUAUGUACAGGAAUAUCACAAUGUGCGCUCAGUCAUAUCACAAUGUAUAACAGUAGUUGUAUGUACAGGAAGCAACAUAUAGGUUAGGCUCAAGUAGUUCUACCAAGGCAUACUAUUAGUACUAGAUAGACUGGUUCGAUUGGCUUGUCAAGGAGCUUUUUUAUGAAUAAUACGAUUAUGCUAAUAUAACAUUUUGAGAGUUAUUUAUCCAAAACCACCACACUUGGGGCUAUGGUAACAACUUGGUACCAGAUUUGCGCCAGGGCACAAAAAACCACCGAAAUUGUGCCUAACAUGUAACGCGGAGCACUGAUGCUGGGAUUUGGUCGCGAAAACAGCCAAACCGACAAGUAGGGCCCGCCUGUCGGGCUGACGUGGCGAAGACCAAAAAAUUUGACCAACUGAUGUGGCAAAUGAGGCGUGGGCCCUACCUGUCAAUGACUAGAGAGUCAUCUUCUUCACAACAUUUUUUCUAUGGAGCAUUCCAACGAACACCUUGUCUGCGUUCAUCCUCUAGCCAUUGAAGAAGGCACAAUACGCCAUGGCCACGCCGGAGCAGCGACCAGAGGAACGGCGAGUCGGACUUCUCCAUCCCGUCCGCAGGCUCACGCAGCUCUUCCUAUCCUCCUACCAAUUACCAAGGUGGUGGCCACCUUGCCGAAGCUUUCAUACGACGGCGACGUGGACAAGGUGCCGGGCAAGCCAAGUUGUGGCUGCGUGGGAAGGGACGAGUGGCUCACCUUGAGCACGUAUGAGUGCUCGGACACGCCGACGCCAUGAAUGAGCACACCUGCGUGAAGAAGAAGGCGAGGUCAUGCUCGUCGUCGUCCAUGGAGGCCGCCCGUCGCGCUGCCCGACGCAGUCGCCCUACCCAGGCAGCGCGGGAGCUGCGCGUCCUUGCUGGCCCUGCCCGCAGGCCAGCACGCCGACGGCAAGCGUGAUGUGGCCCUGGGCUAGCUCGAGCAGGGCUCGGCUACUGUGGCCAUGGUGGCCAUGGAGCUCUCGGCUCGGCCGUCCAUGCCGGCGGGGGCGGCGGCGGGAUUCGAGGGUUGGUGACGUGUAGGGAAGAGGCUGAGGCAGCCUGGGGCAAGCUUGAGCAGGGGCUCGGCUUCCAUGGCUAUGGAGCUCUCGGCUCGCAUGGGGUAGAGAUGCUCGGACAAGCCGCUCGAUGCAAUGCUCCAAAGAAAUAAAGAUGAACACGUAGUCAAUGACAGGCGGGACCCGCAUGUCAUCUGCCACCUCACCUAGUCAACACUUUUUUUAUGUGCUUGGUCUUCGCCACGUCAGCCCAACAGGCGGGCCCUACUUAUCAGUUUGGUUGUUUUCGCGACCAAAUCCCAGCAUCAGUGCUCCGUGUUACAUGUUAGGCAUAAUUUCGGUGGUUUCUUGUGCCCUGGCACAAAUCUGGUACCAAGUUGUUACCCUAGCCCCAAGUGUGGUGGUUUUGGGUAAAUAACUCACAUUUUGAUGACAACACACAACCGAGUGUGUAAACACAAACAAAAUAGUGUUCUACAUUACUAAAAUGUGUACUGUAACACCAGCUAUCAAUAAGCAAACUAAACAUCAUAUCAGGUAAAACAAAUAUAGAGCUCACCAACUCAGCAACCAUCAUUAGAAGAGAUUCAUGUCUCGCAACUCAGGAAAAUACAAUGAAAUUUUUUUGUGCACUGAUGAACUUGCUUGAGAUACAGAAUGGUUGGCACAACUGUGACAUCAAAAUAGUAACAAUUAAAACUUAAAAGUCCAGCUUAAUUUAAAAUAUCUAAACAGGUAAAAUAAGAAAUAAAGGCCCUGUACAACAAAUGAAAUUAGUUCUCUUAUUCGUGAUAGGUGAUCUGAAUCUAAAAGUAGUGUUGAGAUUCACGAACCAACCGAAACUAAAUAACAACCUACUAUGUCUUAAAAGCAUAGUCUAAUAACCGAACUCCCGAUUAUCAACAUCAAAGAAAUCAUGAGCUAUUCCAACAUUCCAUGGCUAUUUUUAGAGUUGACAACAUUUCCAGUUUGUUAGACCCUCGAUAUGGCUAUAGCAGCGAGCAUAUUGUACUAACGGGAUAGUUUACUGUUGUGACUAAUGUGAUAACUGAUUGUUAAUGGGACAAUAUUUUGAAGGAUAGCAUUCCCAUUAUUUUGUAAUGGGAGUGGCAUUGCCACUUUGUUUUUGAGCAUCUUUAUUAUUACUUGACUGGAAAGCGAAAGAUUGUGUGCAUUAUUGUUCCACAUGCUCGACUGCAACUCCGACAUUUUUUUGAGCCUCGAUUUGGUGAUGAAGGCAUUACCAAAAAGAUCACAAGAUAAGCGAACCAAUUAAAGUCUCAAUAUGCAAACAUGCAACCUCAACAUGCAACCAUGUAUGAGAAAAGGCCACCUCAACAUGCAACCAUGUAUGUCAAAAGAUUUUCCAUUCUUCUAUGCUACUUGUAUCCAAAUAAAUAUUUUACAACUAUAUAAUAAUCAAAUACAAUACAUCAUUUCUAUUUUCAGUUUCAAUCCAAUAUUAUUAAGCCAAAUACUCAUGUUUGAUACAACCAAACCUCAUUGAAACAUAUUGCAACCAGUACCCGCAUCAAUAUGCGGGUUAUCAUCCAGUUAUUAGGCUGGUCGUAAUGGUAGUAUCAUAAGUAGUACUCCCUCCGUUUCUUUUUACUCCGCAUAUAAGAUUUGGUCAAAGUCAAACUAGACAAAGUUUGACCAAAUUUAUAUAAAAAAUUAUGAACAUCUACAAUAUUAAAACUAUAUAGUAUGAAAAUACAUUUUGUGGUGCAUCUGAUAAUAUUGAUUUCAUAUUGUUAAUGUUUAUAUUUUUUAAUGUAAAAUUAGUCAAACUUUAUAAAGUUUGACUUUGACCAAACCUUAUAUGCAGACUAAAAAGAAACGGAGGGAGUAUCAUGCAUGCCAACUAGGCAAUUUUAAUGAGGUGUCAUAGCAUUAAAUGAAGAAAGAGAGGGUGUAGUAUCAUAUCAUGAUACUGUAUCAUAUUAAAUGCUAAGAUAUCUUGUAUCAUGCAUGGCAAUAAAUAGAGUACUACAUGAUACUAAUAUAUGAUACUAUGCAUUAGGAACGUAGUAUCAUAUACUAGUAUCAUAUGCAUGAUACUAGUAUAUGAUACUCCCCAUUACAUCAGCCUUAUCAAUGUGAGACACAAUUGGCACAGGCAGCCAGGCUCCCCCUUUUCUUCAUUUAUGCACUCAUUUCCUAUCAUAUCUUCACCUUCUGUGCAACAAUGAAUGAGUUGAACACCUCAUCACCUGCAGGGUGGUGCACGGCCAGCACUUGGAACCCGCCACGCCCGAUAUCGUCCAGCUCCACUACAGGAUAGAGGAACGCUCGCGCCCCGUGCGCGCUUCGCGCGACGAGCACCGCCCCAUCUGCCAUGUGCUUCCCCAAGUGCGCGAUGGUGUUGGCCUUCUCCUCGGACGUCAUCCCCACGAGCGCCGCCAGGAAAACCACGUCGUACGCGCCGAGCUCAGACGUGAGGUCCGCGACUUCGGCCGUGUGGAACGGCAUGCGCGAGCGCACGUCCACAUCCGCCGCGCCGACCAGCUUCAUCGCCCGGCCAUUGGCCACGCUGCACCGGUCGUAGUUGUCGAAGCGGGUGUCCGGCAGGUGGUAUGUCGCGAGGAAGAGCGAGCUGAACGGCAGCGGCCCUGACCCGAUGAACGCCACGCGGGCCGGAGCCGCCAUGUGACCGGCCAGAAGGUCGUUCUCGAGCUUGCUCAGGUUGAUGUAGUUGUCAAAGUAAGGGAAGCGGCCGAGGUGGUCGAGCGGGCUGUCCAAGGCGGUGAGCAUGUCGGAGUAGUGCGCCUCGAGCAGCCCCUCGGCGGUUGAGCACAGGCGGAUGAGGUCCUGCCGCAUCUCCUGCGCCUCCGGGCCGAGCUUGGUCACGUCCACCGGGCUCGACGGGACGCACGCCGCGACCAGCUCGGUGAAGAGCGCGUCGACUUGAGGGGACGGGCUUAGCGACGGGAGCUUGGAGAUGGCGGCGUGGAAGCCGGUGAUCUUCUCGACCAGAGCAGCCACCUCGCUGUUUUCGGCCUCCAUGUCACUUGAUUGCCAAGUAGGUAUGGCUGGUGUUGUAGUGCUGUUCUGAAAAACAAAUGUAGGCUGUAGUGCUAUGAUGGAGCUGAUGCUUGAUACAAUAUGAAGGGAAAAAAAUCAAUGGAAUUGCAAUUGAUUGAGCAGUUUGAUGAGCUGUGGAGGGUGAGGGGUCGUAUGUAGCAUGGAAAUCGUAUGCGAGGCGCGCUUCAUGCUUGCACAGACGUGACGGCCUGUUUCGCGCCUCUAAUUUCCGACAUGCGUCAUUGCAUCUUGCUGACAAGCUCAUGAUUUGGUAGCUAGCUUGACAAUAUACCUAAUAAAUUUGGAGUGGGGGGAUAGGCCGAUAGGUGGAUAAAUUUAGUCUCUGGCAUGUGCCUACGAGCCAACCUCUGUUGAAUAUUCACUCGGAUCUGAAGAAAAAUGGCAGAAUAGAGUUGUUCUUUACUGAAUAAAUUAGGAUCUUUCUCUACCAAAUUAGAGCGCACAGUCAUUCUUCUAUUGAUGUUCCCAGAAAUUCAGUUCACCAGGGAACACCUUAAGUUGAAUGUGAUUUUAUUUUGUCUAAAUCAGUACUCAAUAUAGAGACAGUGGACGGUGGGAAACCGACUGAACUGGCGAUGCGGGCACUGAAAAAGCUUCAGUAGCACAGUAGCACUGGCCUUACCCGUAGCAGCCGGCCGGCCGGCGUCUGCUCCCGCUCCCGCUCCACCGCUAGUCCCCCUUCAGCCGUUCGCGGCCGCACGAAUAUCUCUCCGUCGUGGGGGGAGGACGGCGACCUUCUCGGGCCCCCGAAGCGGAGGAGGGCACCGGCUGCGUCGCGGCGGGAUGACGCCGCCGUCUGCAGCGGGGAGGCGAAGGCAGGGAUGACGGUGCGGGGAGGCGGCCGGGAUCAGCUCCGUCGCGCUGCAGGUGGUGGCCGGAUUUCAGAUCGGGAGCGCUUCUUUGGCUGGAGGUUGGAGAGAGGAAUGGGGGAGAGGAGAAACCGAGCUUGACCAAAGGCGCAUAUCGUCAGUAUGAUUUUUCUUUUGAUCGACGGAAUAUUAUUAUUCCAGGAGUUGGGCUGGAUUAUUCUAUAAAGGAGUUGGGCUGGAUGGGCUAGGCUAUGGUACCAACUUACAUGUGUGAUUGACAGCCUGCACGAUGCAGCCACCCUUGAGGCGUUAGCAUGCCGUGAAGCUUUUGCGCUGGCGGAAGACCUGUCAAUCCAUGAUUUUGUCAUCGCCUCAGAUGCGAAGCAAGUUGUUGAUGAUAUAAACAAGAGAAGCAGAGGCAGCUACGGUUCGAUCGUCACUGAAAUCAAUGCUAGGUCUGAAAUGUAUAAUUGUAGAAUCACUUAUGAGGGACGUUUAUCAAAUAAUGAUGCUCAUAAUUUAGCUAGAUUUUCUGUUAGAUUAUCUCAGGGGCGCCAUUUGUGGCUUUUGCAACCCCAUGAUGCUUCCUGUAUCCCACAUAAUGUGGUAUUCGAUGAUGAAUAAAGCGAUUUACCACCCCUCAAAAAAAAAUCUCUUAUUUCUUUCUUCUACCAACAGACAGGUGGGGUCCACAAGGUAAAAGUGGACGUGGGUUGUCAAUGCCGUGGUAAGCGCCACGUGGCCAAUUUGGUCGAUGAACAGAGUACCACGUAGACUAUAUGACUGGUGAACAAAGCGCCACGUGGCCAAUUUGACCGAUCAGUAGAGUGCCACGUAAAGUAUCUACGUGGUUAACAGAGUGUAAUACGAUGCUCUACGGUGAGCCAGUGCUCGUAUACUUACCCCAAAACGUAUAUAAUGACCGAAACUAGCGUAUUCUGAAGUCCAGUGACCGUAUCAUGUUUUCGCUUCAAAUAUAGUGGCCAGCAGUGUAUUUAUGUCAUUACAAUACUAUCAUGCCAUUUAGCAUUUGCAUUGAGUACUUAUUUUUUAAAACUUACCAUUUCCUUCAAUUCCUCUUGAAAUUGAUACUUUUAUUUUAUUUUUAAAGAUCUAUAAUUGACCUCGUACACUUGUCCGGUAGUGGGAUAGUGGGUGUGUUUUAGUCCUAUUAUUUAAGCUCAUGUGCGUGAGAAGAAAUACAAGAAACGACACAAGAUGUGUGCGUGCCAUGACUCUGUGUGUGUUCUUCUACCUCUUGUGUGCGUGUGUUUUUCUUUCUUCUCCUGGGCAAACCCCACAGUGGAUUAAUUAGGCGCCACAUUUAAUCUUAGUUGUGCCUUUAUCUGCUUAUUAUGCGCAAAUGAUGUCACACCAAAUGGGCCGUGUGUGAGAUUUCAUUUUCAAAUUGUGAAACUGCUAGUUGGGAACCAUUCAACUCCACGAAUAGGGAAUACCCCGAACUUGUAUAUGGAGCCGACAUGUAUUCGGAAUCCAAUGAUAAAUACAUUCUAGAUAUAAUUUAAAUGCAAUCUUCAGAUACAUAUACAGGGAUCAAAGUUUUUUUUCCCUUCUAUUAAGAAAUAUAGGAUCCUGAUUCGAACAAGAAUAUGGCAGUCCACACCACUACAAGUUGAGAAAAAGAUAGUAAGACCAUAUAUUAAUCAAGUAAAUAAAAUACAUUCGUAUCACAAGUGCAAUAUAAGCUCCUCGCCAAUAAAAGUGCAAUAUAAGUUCGUACAUCAAUUACACAUGCUUAACAUAUAAUCAUAGCAGAAAGGAAGGACCUUAUUUAUUUAGUACGUACAUAUAACAAUCGGCACUUGCAUGUAUGCAUACAUUGACUAUUUAUGCGAUACUUUCUUCAGUGAUGUCAAUGUCGAUAUCAGAGGACUUGGUACCUUGAUAGAUGCCAUCAUGUAACUGACGGAUAACUAUGUUGCCACUGUACAUAACAUCCUUCUGCUUGUAUGAGAAGGGAACAUCAACAACAUCUUCUCUUGUGAAUAUGCUACAUAACACUUUAGUCAUUGGAGGCACAGGAUAUGAGUAUUCAUACAUGCGCUUAGUUUCUUGUAUCUUGGUUUCUCCCCAAUUAUACUCUCCAUGAAAGUCCAGAUGGCUUUCAGCUCCACCUUCCAUUAUAAAUGGCAAGCUAGCUGAGAUGUGGGCUUUGAUACCUGCGUCGAGUGUUAAAUUCGCAUCCCAUUUACUCUCUGUUCUGUCAUAUAGUUCAAUAGUAGGUUUGCCUUGGUGGGUCUCAUGUGUUCUAUUGUUAGAAAGCACCUCUGUCCUGGAGACAUUUUGGUUAGUGCUAGUCUUCUUUCCACCGACAUUGUACUCAACAUCAUAUAUCUCUCGAGACUUAACCGGUUCUUCAAUCUGGAGCAUUACUCCCGAGGAGUUGAUAUCAGUACCAGAAGCAACGAGGAUAUUAGAAUAGAUUAUAGUCGGAUCGGUCACACUCUCACAGAAUUUUCCAUUGCCGAGGUUUUGGAGUGCAAUGAUGUUCCCAUCAUUUGAGACCACCUUGAACAAUGUGUUAACAUCGUUGUAAAUGGCAUCAUGUGGUAUGAACGCGCUGAAAUAAAAGCCAGGGUCAUUUAUAGUGCCAAUCGUCCCAUUGAGGAGACUACGGACGCCACAUGUCCAAAACCUGCCUGAGGUGUUGUUUCUUAUGCGGACAAUACCGUAGUCGUCGGUGAACGUCUCAUGGAUCACAUCUGGAUCUGUGAUAUCAGAUGAUGAAAACUGCUGAACCCAAUCAUCACCAUCAGUAUUUACAGAAAACGAAUUCCGGUUCUUUUCUGUGAGGUACUUGCCAUUGUUGCCUUUAAAAGCGACAUAUUUGGGCAAUUCCUUCUGUUGCGACAAGCGAUGAACACUCAAGAGAUCUGUUACUCCUAGUUGCAGGUAGGCUUUGUUGCCUGGAAUAAAACAUAAGUCCCCAGAGACAGAAACCCAGCCAACAUAUUUAUUUUGCUGAGAAUGAAAGCACCUUGUUGUACAAAAAUAAUUAACAACAUCAGAUGAGAAAUUUUAAUAUGGUCCCUAAGAGGAUAAUUUAAUCCUAGCUGUUGAUUGACCGAGGGUAAUUUUGACAAAAUAAAUAUGGUAAUUACAACAAAAUAAAUAGGAAAUAUUCUUGAUGGGUUUGGUGAUCUGUCUUUUGAUGAAGACAUUUUCUCUCUGCCAAAAAAAUGCGAAUCCAAUGCUAUACUUCUUAUGGUAUGCUACUAAUUCAUUGGCGAUGGAAAUUUGGCGUUGUAAUGUUCCUCCAAAGGUCCAGUCAUUUGCAUGGCGACUAGCUACUAAUUCAUUGGCGACAUGGACGAACAAAGUGAAACGAAAUCUGGAAGUAUUGGCAAUGUGUCCAGUAUGUGGGCGCGAAGAAGAGGACUCUUUUCAUGUUUUCUUUGGAUGCAAUCACGCUGUUUGGCUAUGGGAAGCCAUGUCCUCUCAGUGGGCUCUGCCGAAGCGAACGAACAUCAAGCACACUGGUAUAGACUGGUUAUUUCAUCUCCUAGCAGGUACUGAUGAGGAGACUCGCAGCAGGUUGCUGAUGCUUUUCUGGAGAACUUGGUACCUAAGGAAUGAGAUUGUUCACUCAAAGCCAUUGCCUCCAAUUGAUGUCUCUGUCAGAUUUUUGGUAAGUUAUUACUUUGCAUCGUUGCAGGCUAUACACUUGGAUCCACAAGCUGACUCCUUGAAGGGAAAGGAGGUGUUAGCUCCAAGCCAUCAACGCAAGCAACUUGCUUGUGAUAAUGUUCAUAUAGUGAAUGUCAGCUCGUGGACAAAACCGAUUGAGGGCAGAGUAAAACUUAACACAGAUGGCUCAUAUUUGGAAGGUAAAGGGGGUACAGGCAUGAUCCUCAGGGACGCUGAUGGCUUAAUCAUUUUCAGCGCAUGCAGACAUUUGUACACAUGCACUGAUGCUUUAGAAGCGGAAUUACUAGCGAUAAAAGAGGGAAUUUCCUUGGCACUACAAUGGAGUAAUUUAUCCAUUGAUGUUGAGUCUGAUUGUUUGGAGGCUAUCUUGAUGAUCAAAGAAGGAGCAGGCAACAAAUCGAAGCAUGCUUUUAUCAUUAAGGAGAUUAUUGAUACUAUGGGGGAACGUACUUUUUGUAUUACUCACACUCGUCGGAACUGUAAUAAUGCUAGUCAUUUCAUGGCUAAUUUUGGUAGGUUGAAAGGCCGAACCGCGGUUUGGCUAGGCUCUGGUCUAGAAGAGCUCCCGGAAAUUGUGGGACGAGAUUGUAAGACCGAACUUUUUAUCUCUGCCUUUUUAUCAACCGGUUUGGAUUGGCAAAGAGAGGUGAUUGGUUAGUGAUUGUUAUGAGUCAUCAACAGAUAUCAGUGACCACUCGAGCCUUUUUAUCUCUGCCCUUAGUUGCAUUUAUUACUACUGAUGACGACAUAAGUCGCCCCUGGCGUGACUAGACUUGGGUGUGUUUGGUUGGGCUCCAGUUUGGCAUUGGCGCAUAUAAGCUCGGACCUAGCCAAACAAGAGGCGUAUAUUUGGUGUGAGCGAAAUGCUAGGGUGUUCCAACAUAAAUCGACACUCCCAUCCAUCAUCCUUUGCAACAUCAAGAAUGAGGCUAGGCUUUGGAUCACCGCCGGCGGGAAGCACUUGGGAAACAUCAUGCCGCGAGAGUAGAAGUUGUACACUUUAUCUUAGCUUUUGUGUUGUAAAAGCAACUCUAGAACUUCUUAAUUAAUGGAUGAGGCAAAUCUUUUGCCUCCAUUUCGAAAAAAAAGAGGCGUAUAUUUGCCUUUAUUCGAAACGCUGGAGUUAUAAUCCGUAGAAGGGAAGGCACGUCCUAAGGUUCUUUCGAGGUAUAUUUUCAAUCCCACGACUAUCCUACUCCUGCUGCUUGAAAGAAACUUCCAGAACACUGAUUGCAAAAUGUCCAAACAUAGAACGCAAUCACUGGGAGGAGUUCUUUGCUCAGAGGAGGAGUGAAGAGUUCCUGGAGAAGAGUCACCGGGGAAAGGAGCUACAGUAAAGGAACACAUAUGGCUACCAAGGUUUUUUUUUUUUUGGAAAAGGGGAUAUACCCCAGCCUCUGCAUCAGGAAGAUGCAUACGGCUCAUAUUAUUAAAGUCAAAGUACAGCAACACAGUCUCGAAAGGUCGUAGUACCAACAAAUACAAAAGACUCAAAAUAGGUAAGGCCCAAAGCCACAACCGGCUGGCAAAACAAUAGGAUCACUACAUGCCUAUCCUAUUACAUGACCGCCAUCCAAACCGGUUGAAAAUAUCCCGAGCUACCAUCUCCCAUCGGGUAGACGCAGUAACCAAACGCUCCCUGGCCACCGUCGGAGUGAGUAGCGACCACAUACGGAUGAACGCCGUGGCCCUGAAGAUAACCUGCAAAAAGUGAAUGGUUGAUGAUCUGUUAAAGACUAAAUCAUUCCUGCAGUUUCAUAUUGCCCAUAAUAAUGCACAAACGCCAACCCGAAUGUGUCUUGCAGUGUCAGCAUCCACCCCAUCAAGCCAUGUGCCAAAUAACAUGCUGAUUGAGGUGGGCUGAUUAAUAUUAAACGCAAUAUGGACCGACCGCCACAAAAUCUUAGCCAACGGACAAUCGAGAAAGAGAUGUUUGAUGCUUUCGUUCUGAUCACAAAAGCUACAUCUAGACGAUCCCACCCAAUUUCGUUUUGCAAGGUUAUCCUUAGUCAAAAUGACUUGUUUAUGCACAAACCACAUAAACACUUUGAUACGUAAGGGUACCUUAACCUUCCAAACAUGAAACGAAGUAGGGAUAGCGCUAGAGUUAAUGACAUCCAGAUACAUUGAUUUGACCGAGAACAAACCGUUCUUAGUAAGUUUCCAAUGCAACUGAUCUGGCUGCUGAGACAGCCGGAUUUCCAUCAACCGACUAACAAGAUGCAGCCAGGCCUCCCAACGAUUUCCAACAAGCGUCCGUCUAAAACUGAUAUUGAGGGGAACGGAUUGUAAAACAUUAGCAACAUAGGCUUCUCUACGUCGGACAAUGUUGUACAAAGAAGGAUAUUGAAGUGCAAGUGGGGUCUCCCCAAGCCACGUAUCCUCCCAAAACCUUGUAGUAGCACCAUUCCCAACAAUAAACUUAGUCUUGUUGAAAAAAAGUUUUUUAACUCUCAUCAAACCCUUCCAAAAGGGAGAGUCGGAAGGCCUCACAUUCACCUGAGCCAAAGUCUUAGCAAAGAGAUACUUAUUGCGCAAAAUCUGAGCCCAAGUUGCGUCCCUCUCAGAUGACAGCUUAAAUAGCCACUUGCUAAGGAGACAUAUGUUUUUGACUUCCAGAUUUUCAAUGCCUAGACCUCCUUGCUCCUUAGGCCUACAGAUUAUAUCCCACUUAGCGAGCCUAUACUUUCGUUUAAGCUCAUCAAUUUGCCAAAAGAAACGCGAUCGAUAGAAAUCUAACCUUUUCCUGACUCCAACCGGAACCAAGAAAAAGGAUAAGAGAAACAUAGGCAUACUAGUGAGGACCGAAUUAAUCAGAAUCAAUCGUCCUCCGUAUGACAUGAGCUUUCCUUUCCAACAGCUCAGUUUCUUUUCAAAACGAUCCUCAACGCAUUUCCACUCAAAGUUAGUCAGCUUACGAUGAUGAAUGGGUAUACCUAAGUACGUAAACGGUAACGAGCCCAAUUCACAUCCGAACAAUUGUUGAUACGACUCCCGAUCAUCAUUAGCUCUUCCAAAGCAAAACAAUUCGCUCUUGUGGAAGUUGAUUUUGAGCCCAGACAAUUGUUCAAAUAAGCAUAACAGCAGCUUCAUGUUUCUUGCUUUCGCCAAGUCAUGCUCCAUAAAGAUGAUAGUAUCAUCAGCAUACUGAAGAAUGGACAUCCCGCCGUCAACUAGAUGAGGAACCAAGCCAGCUACCUGCCCGGCAUCCUUUGCCCGACCUAUUAAGAUAGUCAGCAUAUCAGCCACUAUGUUGAAGAGGAUCGGUGGCAUAGGGUCUCCUUGCCGUAGCCCCUUGUGUGUUUGGAAAUAGUGACCUACGUCAACAUUCACCUUAAUCCCUACACUCCCUUUUUGCGUAAAGGAAUCAACCUGGUUUCUCCAGGCCGGAUCGAAACCUUUCAUACGCAAAGCUUGUUGAAGGAAAGACCAUUUAACUUUAUCAUAAGCUUUCUCAAAAUCCACUUUAAAAACUACGCCAUCAAGUUUUUUGGAGUGGAUUUCAUGAAGCGUUUCAUGCAAAACAACAACCCCUUCCAGGAUGUUUCUAUCAGGCAUGAAAGCAGUCUGGGACGGCGCAACUACUGAGUGUGCAAUUUGCGUAAGUCUAUUCGUCCCGACCUUGGUGAAAAUUUUGAAACUCACAUUAAGCAGACAUAUGGGUCUGAACUGCUCGAUGCGAACAGCCUCUGUCUUCUUAGGGAGAAGUGUUAUAGUCCCAAAAUUCAGUUUAAACAAAUGAAGCUCCCCUUCAAAAAACUCUUGAAACAUGGGCAUCAAAUCCCCCUUAAUAAAAUGCCAACAUUUCUUGUAAAAUUCCACCGGGAACCCAUCUGGUCCUGGGGCCUUGUUAUUCUUCAUUUGUGCAAUAGCCUCAAAAACCUCUUUCUCGGAGAAAGGCGCAGUCAAAAUUUCAUUUUCGGCAGUCUCAAGUUGAGGCACAUCCUCAACCCUAGACUCAUCCAACGUUACGGAAGUCCCUACCGGGGGACCAAACAACUGCUUAUAAUAAUUGGUAAUGUAGACUUUCAGAUUGUCCUGACCAACUAUUGUCCCUUCAUCUUGUUCUAGUUGGAAAAUUCUCUUUUUACGAUGCUUCCCGUUGGCAACCAUAUGAAAGAAUUGAGUGUUAUCCUCGCCUUCAACGAUUUUGCGAGUCUUAGCUCGCAACGCCCACUUCAAUUCCUCCUCACGAAGAAGCUUUUUAAGCUGCAACUCCGCUUCUACCUUUGUUUCCAGCUCAUUGGACUCCAAGAUAGAAGUUUCAGCUUUAACUUCAAGGUUGUGAAUAAGUAGGAGAAGUCUCUCCUUCUCCACCUUAUAAAUCCCGUUCAUGUGCUUAGCCCAACCACGAAGGAAACUACGGAGAUGACGAAUCUUGCAUUGCCAACGCUCGAUUGGCGUCCUACCUCCCGAGUCCUUCGCCCACUCUAUAGCUAGCAACUCAAGAAACCCUUCUCUUUCAAACCAGGCAAGUUCAAACGAGAAAAAGUUCUUGUUGCCCACAAAAUUUUGAACUCCGGAGUCGACUAGUAACGGUGUAUGAUCCGAGACACCUCGAGUCAUAGCCUGCACAGUUACCAGAGGAAACUUCUGUUCCCACUCGACACUAGCUAGCACACGGUCAAGUUUCUCAAAGGUCGGAACCGGUAACGAAUUAGCCCAAGUGAAUUUCCUACCCGAAAGCUCAAUCUCCCUGAGAUCCAAGCUUUCGAUGAUAGUGUUGAACAUAAACGGCCAGCGGCCGUCAAAAUUGUCAUUAUUCUUAUCCUCCUUUCUUCGGAUAAUGUUGAAAUCCCCUCCCACUAAGAGAGGUAGCUGCUCGUUACCACAGAUACGCACUAGAUCCGCCAAAAAAUCUGGCUUUAGCUCUGGUUGCGCAGCUCCGUAAACUGCCACCAAUGCCCAAUCAAACCCGUCUGCCUUAUUGCGGACUCGAAACUUGACAGCGAACUCUCCCAUAACUACGCUCCGAACCUCCAACGAUUCGCACUUCACCCCAAGUAGAAUCCCACCGGAUCUUCCUCGAGGAGGGAGGCAAUGCCAAUCAAAAGCUACCCCCCCGGACAAAGUGGCAAGAAAUUGAGAAGUGAAAUUGCUUCUUCCAGUCUCAGACAAAGCAAUAAAAUCUAAAUGAUGUUCAAGAGAAGCAUCCGCUAGAAACCUCCUUUUAGCCAAGUCUCUAAGACCUCUGCUAUUCCAGAAAAUGCCUCUCAUAACUCAUCAUGAAAUUUUUUGGCAGUACGGAUCCUAGCACUCCUACGCGCAGCGGAUACUGGAUAAACCUUACGUUUCCAUGUCCGCUUAGGCUUUAAGUGACCAUCAGCCUGAUCACCGCCCUCCUUCACAGCUUCUAUCACUAAAGACUCAUCUGCAAGAAGAGACGUCUCAGGAAUGGUGUCCUCCUCUAUCUCUAUAAAUGCAGGGUCAAGAUCAGCACACAUGCCAUCAAGAACCCUAACCCCAAGCGCAUCAAUCUCCGAGUCAUUCAUUGGUUUAACGGCAGCUAUGUGACGAAUCAUAUCUACCGCACGAUCAGCUUCUAAAUCAAGAAUGUCGUUAACCGACUUGGCAAUUUCAGCAUCAUUAUUACCAAGUGAAAUUCCUAAUUGAGUUGCAUUAUUAAUGAUUUCAUUAUCAGUAAAAUGCAAAAUGGAAUUCGACUUAAUAACAGACAUACCAGUGGAGGUCUCGACGUCAUGCAACUUGGCAGCCCUCAACGCACACCUCAGUUGAAUGUCAUCAACAUCCGGCUGCUCCUGCAGCCUCCCGCUGAUCCGCCUCCCCUGGGAGACAGGAUCCGGAAUACCACCAAAGGCAAUGACCUCCUCUCGAGAAGCCCUGCUAGGGGAAGGGCCUCCUGCCCGUCCCCCAACAGCGGUGCCCCGGAUCGCAGACACCGGAGCAGGAGAAGAAAGAGGCGGCGUCACCUGCAGCCCGAGCACGGGCGACCCACGAGCAGCAGAGCUCGGGGCAGCCAACGCACCGCGCACCGGGGGAGAAGCUGUAAGAGCGACCGCGUCGCCCAAACCACCCGACACAACGGGAACCGGCGAGUCAGCGGCCUCCCGCCCAGCCACACCCUCGGCCGCGCGAGGAGAAACCGCAGCCAAAGGGGCGGAUCUGGCCGGUGAAGCAGCUGGUCCGUGGCCGCCCCCAGCUGCCAUCCCCCCGAAGAAAACUCCCCCCGCCUCAGAGGAAGCCAAAGAGGGGGGCGAGUGGUGCGCAGGCCUCCUGCCCGCAUGUCCCACCCGAGGUCGCCCGAUCCUCCGAAGGGGCGAAAACCUCCGCGCUGGCCCUAGGCACCAAAGAGACAGGCGUCUCAAGAGCUCGGGAAGGCCGGCCCUCACUCCCGCCCACGUCCGCCAAGGUGCCCAGCGAAGACAACGUCGAUGAAGUAGGAGUAACAUGGACCUCCUGUCCAGAAGUUCCUUCCGGACCAUUGACAAACAAGACAGAGUCAACCCCCGUAAUCGCAGGCGGCAAAUGCUCAGACAGGUCAUCCAUGUCCACCCGAUCACUCCAAAGACGAGGAGGCGCCGAGAAAGCUCCUACGGAACCCAGUUGCAGCAUAUUGGACGGGACCGAAACCGGCGAUUUCCCCUGAGCAGACUCUCCUGCCUUAGACGAAUCCACAGGCCUGGAAUCCCUGUCCCCAUCAUUAUGAGUAUUACUACCAUGGUUCCCAGGGGCGCCUCCCCCCUCAGUAGUAUCCAUAUGAUGCACCUCAUCAAACUCCUGAAACAAAUUAGGAUCCUCAUACUCGACAUUCAACAUGUACGCAAUACCCUCGUGACACCAUCUGACCACAUCCGGCAAGAACUCGAUGUUGGCCACGCUAACCAGCAAGCGCGCCACACCAUGAGCACGGGUGAAGGGCAUAUCUACCUGCUCCGUCUUACCAAGCAAGGAUCCCAAGCUCCAUGUGACGAAGAAAUCAUUCAAGGGCUCAGAUGGAGCACCCAGAAAACGAAUCCAGAUCUGAGUUAGAGGUGUGCCCUGCGGCUCCGCCUUCUUCCACUCAUCAAACUGCAACACAAAGCUAGUGCCAGUAACUCUACACAUACCAAACUUGAGAAUUCUCUUCUGGUCCUCCUUAGAUGGAAAUUCCACUUUGUAAGACUGAUCUGAUAGUUUCAACAAGGACCAGUUAAAGUUCCCCGGAGCCAACUCCCGCAACUGCUGAAUGAUCUGGGCUUCAGUGAGAUGUCCGGAGACCACCUUAACCACCCCGGGGAAGGAGGUCUCAAAAACAGGAGCCACCGAGGCCACGCUAGGUGACUCGAAGAACAUCAACUCAGAGCAACAGAGCCCAUAAAUAUUAAGUGCCGGUUUGGGACCCAGAAGAAGCGGACACUCAGCCGCCACAUGUUUAGGUUUUCGACAAAUAUCACAUAACUCAGCAGAGCAAUCAACCAUGAAGUGACCCGUCUCACCGCACCGGAAACAGAUCAGUUUCUUCUUCUUAGCCGCCCACUUGGAGAGCUUGUCCCCCCCGGCCUUUUCCGAUCCUUUGUCAGAAUCAGCAUCAACGGAUUGCACAGUCACCGGAACUGUCACAUCGGCGAGCGCCCGAACCGUCUCCACCACCGCGUGAGUGAGACCAGCGUCAUCCGUGGACAUGUCAGUGGUUUCCGAACCCGUAGCACCGGGCAAAUUGCGCGGAGGAUAACGGCGGUGACCGCCACGACCACGGUAGCGGCCCCGGAAACGACUCGGGCCAACCGCCCCCUCAACAAAAUUCCCCGGAGGUCCAUGGAAACCACGACCGGCAGCCCCGUGAUCUGUCCAACCAUAGCCCUGCCCACCACCAGUGGACGAUGAGCCACGAUGAAGACCACGACCGUAAGCAUCGUAACCAUCGUCACCCCACUGACCACGGGGAGGGUCGCGGCUUUCACCCGCGAACGCUCCCGACCCGCGGCCCGCAGCAGCAUUAGCAGGUCCACCCCGCCCGAGCGCCAUCUGCCGCGGCCAGGGGCGCGGCGCCUGAGGGGGUGCGGCCCCGGCCGGCUGCGCCGCCGGAACCCUGGUGGGAGGCGCAGCCUGCGCAGGCGCCGAAGGCGCAGCCGACGCCGGCACAGCCGUCGGACCACCUGACGCAGCCCUCGCAGGCGGCUUCGCCGGCGGCGGAGCCUUGGCCAACGGCGGGGCUUUGGGUGGCAUAGCUUCGCCGGCUACCGUCGGAGAGCAGCGGCAAGGAUGCAGCGCCCGCCUCACACGGCGAGUCCCAGCAGGAGGGAAGCCCAAUCUUCCGCGGCGGCGAACCCUAGAGAAAACCUCGAAACGGCCAGGAGAGACCGAACGUGCAUGCGAAACCACGCGAACCGAUGCGGUCACAUGCACGGGAGCCACUCCAGCCCAGUCCGCAGCGGCCGGUUUUGCCUGGGCCUGAAGCCCUGCUAAUCCCGGUCCGCCCUCGGAUGAAACCCCCUGGCCAGACGGCCUAAACGCGGGCUGGCCUUCAUUUCGGCCCACCGAUUCAAGCCCAUCAGCGCGCAACAACGAAUUCAAACGCGUGAUCCGCUCCGAUCGGAUCACGCCCGCACGGUCAAUCGCCGGCGCCGGCUCCGGCGCCGCCGCCGGUCGCCGACACUUCUUCCUCUUCACUAUCUUCCACGAUCCCUCUGUAAUGAAAUCUGACAAGGUAAGUUUUGGGAGACAUACCUUAGGAAUAGGCCCCUUCCAUGGCCGGAUCGCAGCCGCCGCCGUCCGUCGAUGAACCAUGCGUCGAACAAUCUCAAUCUUGUCCUCUGCCCCCAAGCCUUGCCGCGCCGGAUCAUCCAUCGGCACGACGCCAUCAACGAUCGUGGCCACAUCCUCUUCCGAGUACCCGGGAUCGAACGCCUCGCAGAUCACAGACGACGGCGUUGGCGAGUACGCCUCCGGCAAACCUCCGGCGACGUCCCCAUCGUCAUCGUCCUCCGCAUCAGCCUCCGCUAGAGCCCAGAACCUCCCACCAACGAGCCCCACGCUAGAGGUCGCCGGCGGCAUGACCGCGGUGGUCGCCCAGGAGUCGCCCGUUCACUGUGGUACUAGGCUCGGUUCUCAAGAGCUUCUUGCCCCCCACCAUCUACAAUCUGCGCCAGGUUUAUGAUCGAAGGAAAAAUACGACCAACACCUUGGCGGCCGUGGUUACCUAGGGAAAAGAUUACACUGGACCAGAGAGGACGCCGCACUAGCCACAUCUAGGAAACCUCUUCCUUUAGAGUACAUCAAGGAGGGGCACACCACUUCGUAAGGGGGAACACAACCUAUUACCAUGUCAUCAAUUGCCGCUACCCCGGAACUCAAGGAAGUAUUCGACCAUUUCGUAACAUCUCAACGCAAUGUCUUUUCGUAGUUCAUUACUCCACUUUCAAUACACUCAGCAAAAUAGCUUGCAUCGAGAACAUUACAUAUGAAUCGGUAUGUUCGUGAUAGUGUACAAAUAGUGUAACUACAAGACCAAAAGAGCAAGAAAUAGUGUACAAAUUCAUAUGGUCUUAAAAGUUUCAAGCAUUAUUAAGGUUGUAACAUUAUGUAUUGGUGCUCUCUCUCUCUCUCUCUCUCUCUCUCUCUCAGCAGUAUUGUGUGAUAGAAUUUUUAAUUUUUUAAUUUGUGCUAACGUAGCAUUCAUAUUGCAGCAUGUAAAAAGAACAUAUGACAUAAAUGAUCUUAUAACUAAACUAAACAUAAAACUAUUGAGCCCUGAACUCUGGUUUUGUCCAUUUUACUUGGCCCUCUCUACCAAAACUACAAUGGUUUUGAUUGAUGUCACAUACGUACGUGUAAAUUUUUUGUGAAAUGUUGCCCAUGUGGUGCAAUAAAAAAUAUUUGUUCUAUCUAUCAAUAUUUUUGGAAAAUACAGAUAAAUAAAUUUGGGGUUAAAGUAAAAAAACUGGCAAAUAUAGAAUCCUUUUAUUAAGAAAGGUGAAACUUCUGAACGAACACGAAAUUAUGGAACAGAAAAAACCAGCGAUACCAUUCAAAAAGGAAAAAAAUAUAUGGAAAAUGGGAAGUGAGCAAAUAGUCAGAAGAGUUCCAAGUCUCAUAAAGAAUUAUGAAGUACCAUUAAAUAAUGAACAAAAUAUUUAGGGAAGAAACACAUAUUUCAAAAUUUAUUAAGAUGUAUUGUUUGGACGUUGCCCUAUGUCCAGAUAUUCAUGAAUAGUGAUAAUAUAUUGUUUUCUUUAUUUUUAGAAUCUACAGUAAAUGGUUCAUUUCUGUAUCUCUAAGGAUUUACUACCUCCGUUCGGACAUAACUGAUGUGGUUUUAGUUCAAAUUUAAUUCGAACUAAAAUCACAUCAGUUAUUUCCGAACGGAGGGAGUAUUUGUUAUCCAUGAUAUAUUUUGUUCCAAGUUAUUUUAUUUGAUUUUAGUAUCUCUAUCUCCUAGCGUUGUCUCUUUUAUUCAUUUCUAUUUAGAAAUUUUCCCCUUUUCAAAUUUUGUAUUCUUUUCCAACUUUUCCCUAUUUUUCAUAGUUUUGCUCCAUUUUAAUUACUUUAUAUAUGAUUAUCUCAAGUUGUUUCUUUCAUCGACAUGUGUUAACAAAAGCAUUAGACAAGUUGGCACGUCUAAACAUAAUAUAUUAUAAUGAGUUUUAAGUUGCAUUUAUGUGUUUGUUUUAUUAUAGCUGAUUGUUAAUUUUUAUGCGUGCAUAUUUAUCAAUUAUCAGUAUUAAUAUGAGAUACAAUCUCUUUAUUCACAGAUGUGGAAAGCAAUGUCAUAUAAAAGAAAUCAACGGGUUUUGGUCAUCGGUAUUGUGUGGGCCCAGGUGCCAGGCACAUCCGGUGGCUCUUGCUAUUAGGAUAGGUGUAUUGCCACCCGGAAAAGGGCCCUAGAUUCUAGCACUCUUUCACAUGCAUGUCCAUUUGCAUCUGAGAAUGCUUCGGCGAUGUCUCGGUGAUAAUAUACAAAAACAUUUUGCGUCGCCAACAAGAAGGGAGGAAAGCCAUCAAACAUUUUCCCCCUCGACAGCAUCACCAUGAAAUGCAAUCAUUUAUUCAUCGGUCUUGGAAGCCUCCAUAGCUUCCUUCAAAAUUAUCAAGACCAUCAAGAUUGGUUUGUAACUUGGUAUUCAUGAAUUUAUGAAAACAAAAAAUUAUCAAUCUUUGGGCCAUAUUGGCAUCCUUCUCCGGCAAGGGUACGUCUAAGGAGACUCUGAAACAACAAAGAUGAAAGUAAUAUACACACCGAUUGGUGGAAAGUACAUGUAUGAAACCAUGGGCAUAUGCACCCACUACGAAAAACUCAUUUCUAAGUGCCAAAAAAUUCUGAAAAAAGUUUCACGCAUACAUCUUCACAUUCUAUGUGCGCACAGGAAGUUCCAUGCAAAAACAACUUCUUCUUUGGCCUCUGCAAAAAAGAAAACAAAAGUGACGUGGCAUGUUAUUUAGAAGCACUGAAUUUGUCUUUUUCAUGGAGGCAAAAUAAAAAAGAAAAGUUUUCAUAAAACUUUGUGUCGUGCACUAUGUUUCGAAGAUGUAUGCGUGAAAUUUUGUAUCUGAAUUUUUGACAUUGUAAAUUGCAGUUAAAAUGCAUUUUUUAAAAGUGGGUUCAUAUGUCAGGGUGCCCCCACUCAACGAUUCGCUUGUAACCUUGGUAUUCAUCAAUUUAUGAAAACAAAAGAUUAUCAAUCUUUGUGCCAUUCUUUGUCAAGAUUGGAAUCCUUUUCCGGCAAAGGUUCAUCGAAGGAGACUCCCAAACAGCAAAGAUGAAAGUACAUAGACACCGAUCAACAAGACCACAAAACUCACGUGAUUCACGAAAUUUGACGUCGCGAUCUGUCCAAGCGUGCACUAUAAAGUUGUUUCUUUCUAGAUUAGCGCGAGUCCCUUUUUUUGCAGGUGAGCAUUAGUGCGAGAUCUAACCAAUGAAGAAAAAUCGAUGCAUCCACGGGAUGGGAUCUGAAUCUGUGGAGGCGCAUGCAGACUGUCAUGAAUGUGUGUCCAACUCAACCCAUGUGGGAGGCAUGGUACGGCAAAAGAAACAAGUACCUGCUGGUUGCUAUGUACCUGUCAUUGGGACCAAUGUGACAUUGCAAAUCUAUCCUAUCCAGCCAGCUCGCUGAGUAGGAGAGAAGGAACUUCAUGCCAAACAGAAGGACCGUGCCCUAAUAAAACAUGAGUGAAUUCCGGUUUUUAUUCUCUAUUUUGACAUUUUUUGACACUAAUUACCCCAUUUAGCGGGAUUUCAUCUGUUUUAUCCCAUUUAGCAAAUUCACCCUGUUUAAAAUUUUAUGAGCAUUCUGACAUAUGGGUCCCAAUUGUAAGGUCCAGCUAGAAUGCCAAAUCGCCGGGUUUUUUUCCGAUGGUUUUCUACACGCCAAACCAGGUCGCCCUAGCUUCUCCCGACUGGCCAAGCUUGAUAUGAUCGCACCAGAGCAGCUCGGGAAACAGAGUACUAACUCUGCACCGGUAAACAUAUUUGCUAAUACGGAAAAGGAAACUUCUAAAACAUGAUUUACCUAGUUCAUUCUUCGCUAGAUAUGUAGAUAUGUACGUGCAUCAGAGGUACUGAAGCAGUAUAUUUACACCACUUUUAAUCUGAUCCACAUAAUCAUUCAUACUUAAGGUUGUAUAUGAUAAUACUGAAGAAAAACAUACAUGAUUUCAUAUUAUAUCAGCAACAGUCCCUCCUAGAAUUUAUUCAAUGGGAACAUGCCACGCUGAUCAAGUACAGUCAUCUCAUCACAAUACUUCUUCGAACCGGAAACGAGUAGUCUAAACCUAUCUAAUAUGCAUCCCAGACUAAGAGAAAAUCUAGCCACAAAAAACCUAACCACCAGGGGUCACAAACAGAGGAUGCAGCAUGCAUGGGACGGGACAAGAUUGUCGUAUUGGUUGCCGCUUGCUCCGACUAUCGCCAGUGGCCACGACUUGAAGUCUUGCCUGUCGUUGUCACCUACGUCGUGCUACCCCCUCCUAACGAAUGAGGCGGUGGUUUUGGGUCAGACCAGGGCAGGAUCGUGUGUGCAAUGGGAAUGCGAGUGAUGUGUGCCGUGAAUAAUGGAGGCCAAUGUGAUAUGGCCCAACCUGGGCGACUUGGCUAUCCGGCGAGCUGCUUUGGUGCCAUCAUAUCAAGCUUGGCCGGUCGGGAGAAGCUAGGCGAUGCCUUUAGGCGUGCAGGAAAACCAUCAGGAAAAAUCCGCCUAUGUGGCAUGCCAGCUGGACCUUACAAUUGGGACCCAUCGGCCAGAACACUCACAAAAUUUUAAACAUGGUAAAUUGUGGCAAUAUUUUUGCUAAAUGGGGUAAAAUGGAUGAAAUCCCGCUAAAUGGGUAAUUAGCGUAAAAAAUGUUAAAAUAGGGGGUAAAGACGGAAUUCACUCAUAAAACACUGCAAUCCUCUAUAUUUUCUGGACCCUUGAAAAUUUGAGUUACCGGAGCGCUCGUAUUGUUAAAUCGUCGGAGAGAGCAAAAGAAACUGAUCAAAAGCACAUCAACUAAAGGCUAAAUCAGAAUACCUAUGCAGCUGCGAUCAGCAUCUGAACCAUCUCCCAGCUACCUAACCGCAAGGAUGAAAGAAAUUUAAGCACACCUCUUCCAUCUACCUAGCCAUAUGAUGAUGAAAGAUAUUUAAGCACCUCUUCCCUCUACCUAACCAUAUGAUGAUGAAAGAUAUUUGCAUCUCAACCAUCUCCCAGCUACCUAGCCGCAAGGACGAGGUACAUGAAGCGACUUUGACGGUGAUCUCUACGUGGUGGUUUCAUCUACCGACUCGAGUCAACUAUAGCUAAUAUGCAUACUAUUGAAGCUGGAUACAUAAUAACUAACGAAAAGAAAACCUGAUCGCAGCCGGUUUUCACGUAUGAAUUGACUGGAAGACUUAAGAAUUCCGGUCAGUUCUUCUCACAAAAUUGAAUACUUAAGUAUUACCGUCGUUUUACACUAAAACCGCAUAUGUUACUAAUUUCAGGGCUGACAUAAUUUAUGUUUAGAGCAAACCCUGCAGAUCAAAAUUCACACCAAUUGAUUUUCAUCAAUCACAUGUCAACACAUGAUGCAUCACAAAUACACAUUCAAAUUCAUGUCACAACUGCAUUGUAUUUCAUUCCAGUGUACUCCCUCCGUUUCUUUUUACUCCGCAUAUAAAAUUUGGUCAAAGUCAAACUACACAAAGUUUGACCAAAUUUAUAUAAAAAAAUAUAAACAUCUACAAUAUUAAAACUAUAUAGUAUGAAAAUACAUUUCGUGGUGCAUCUGAUAACGUUGAUUUCAUACUGUCAAUGUUUAUAUUUUUUAAUGUAAAGUUAGUCAAACUUUACAAAGCUUGACUUUGACCAAACCUUAUAUGCAGACUAAAAAGAAACGAAGGGAGUACACAAUAUUCCGUUCCUUGUUUCUCUGGAGGCCACAUUGGAGAGAGUGUGUGUGUGUGUGUGAGUGCAUGGGUGGGUGGGUGGGCGCGCGUGUGAGCGGAUCGGGCCAAUGACAUGAAGUGAUCAAUCACAUGGAUAUCAUCGAUAAGGACAUACUCCGGCACCUCUUGCAACUCCCCCUCCGCUUCUCCCUGAGAUCUUGCAGCAAAGGCAAGCAUAUACCAGACGCUCACGCAAUCGUUUACUCAAAACUCAAAUGACCUCCCAAGAUUCCAUAAUAGUAGUUCUACUGCAACUAAAACCAACAUUCUACUAAUAAUUUGCCAAGACUAGCUCAGUAAUACUACUGAACUAUGGCUUGCGUCGGUCUCCGUGGUCGUGUGGGCAUCUUGGAUACUGGAUCUCGAGAUGGUGGCGGCCUUUCUGAGGCUGGAUGGUCGUGGUCGCUUCAAGUCACGAUCAAUGAUGGGCAGCAGCCGGCACAAUUCUCCCAAUAUGCAUGCUAUGGGUCUGCGUAAGUUGCAUAGAGAGGUCGCACGCAUACCUCAGAAGAGAGAUUGAUUAUAAGUGAUGAAUGAUAAUCCCUUCUUUCUCUACCGCCUACUAACGGUUAUAAUCGGUCGAUUGGGAUUUCUGCAAUUCACAAUCACAUAGACCGAGAACCAGCAAAGCCCCAAGAAUGCUUGCACAGUUUGAGUUCCAAAUUAAUUAAACACAAGAUAUUGUUUUCUAGUAACAGGAUAAUAAUCUUGUUGUCCUGUCUUUGUAGCUACACCCACCCCGUCCGAGUCUUCAUCAAGCAUUGACCAAUUUAUCAACCAAACGUGGCUGAUGGAUCAAUUUGUUGUCCAUUUCAACAAGUUAUGAGGGUGGACAUGGUCAUGUGCAGUGCAGUGCAGUGAUGAAGAGGUUAGGGACGACGAAAUUUCUUCUCAAGAGGCGUGCAUGGGCACUCCGCAUGUGCAAUCAUGAAGAUGAUGCAUGAUAGGCGAAGCUUCUUCCGGCCAGCCGCCGCGCUCCAGAAUUCAACGGACGAGACUAGUGCAGGCUUAAAUUGUUCCAUAAAAUGGCGGCACUCGGCGCCUCGGCUCAUUCAUCCAACCAUGUCCACGCUGAGAGCGCGGCGUGCGACGGCCAUCCUGGCCGUCGUCCUGGCGGCGGCCGCGGUCGUCACUCCGGCCACGGCCCAGCAGUGCGGCUCGCAAGCCGGCGGCGCCAAGUGCGCCGACUGCCUGUGCUGCAGCCAGUUCGGGUUCUGCGGCAGCACCUCCGAAUACUGCGGCGCCGGCUGCCAGAGCCAGUGCAGCGGCAGCGGCUGCGGCGGCGGCGGGGUGGCGUCCAUCGUGUCCAGGGACCUCUUCGAGCGGUUCCUGCUCCACCGCAACGACGCGGCGUGCCUGGCCCGCGGGUUCUACACCUACGACGCCUUCCUGGCCGCCGCCGGCGCGUUCCCGGCCUUCGGCACCACCGGAGACCUGGACACGCGGAAGCGGGAGGUGGCGGCCUUCUUCGGCCAGACCUCUCACGAGACCACCGGCGGGUGGCCCACCGCGCCCGACGGCCCCUUCUCGUGGGGCUACUGCUUCAAGCAGGAGCAGGGCUCGCCGCCGAGCUACUGCGACCAGAGCGCCGACUGGCCGUGCGCACCCGGCAAGCAGUACUAUGGCCGCGGCCCCAUCCAGCUCACCCAGUAAGCACCCACAAAACCCUCUUCUUCAUGUAGUUCUCUCCUAACUCAAAAUUCCUCAGCUUUAACCAAGUGUACAUGAAAAAUUACCAACAUUUGUGAUAGUACCGUCAGCGUAAUUAGAUAAAGCAUAUUUUCAUAUGAUAUUGUUUGGAUUGGUAAAAACAUAAAAAGUGUAGUGUCUUUGUUGGCCUGUUUGUUUCAUGAUGGAUUGAUUCAGCAACUACAACUACGGACCGGCGGGCCGCGCAAUCGGGGUGGACCUGCUGAACAAUCCGGACCUGGUGGCCACGGACCCGACAGUGGCGUUCAAGACGGCGAUAUGGUUCUGGAUGACGACGCAGUCCAACAAGCCGUCGUGCCAUGACGUGAUCACGGGGCGGUGGACUCCGACGGCCAAGGAUAGCGCGGCCGGACGGGUGCCCGGGUAUGGUGUCAUCACCAACGUCAUCAACGGCGGGAUCGAGUGCGGCAUGGGGCAGAACGACAAGGUGGCCGAUCGGAUCGGGUUCUACAAGCGCUAUUGUGACAUCUUCGGCAUCGGCUACGGGAAUAACCUCGACUGCUACAACCAAUUGUCGUUCAACAUUGGGCUCGCGGCACAGUGAGAUAGUAAGACUAUGGGUCCUCGAUCUAUGCAUGUGUGGAUGUGAUCACGCAUAAAUAAAUAAUCUUGGUGAUUACUUUAUGACCAAAUAAAUGGAUGACCAGACCUCCCACAUGUGUAGUACAUGUAUGUCGAUGCACGGAAAGGAAUCACCUUUAUUAAAAAUAUAUUCUAGUUUAUGCAGAAAUAUCUGCAAAUAUAUAUGUCGCCUACGGUCCAUACUUGCUUGUCUUGGUGGACUGAUCUUUCAUACCCCUACGUCCCAAACUUAUUUGGGACGGAGCGGACAGAGUACUCCAGUAAUUUUGAUAAUAAAGUGACGGGCGUUUAGAGCAGAAAUGGCUUUACGCGGGGGGAGUCGCCACGGAAUUUCUGAGGUAGAAUCGCGUUGUUUCCCUCCUUUUUUUGUUUACGGAAUUUCUGCUCGGUGAUAGGGGGUGUGUUGGGGCUAGUUCGUUUGCUGCGUUGGAGUUUUCAUGGGUGCAGGUAGGAGGAGAGGUGAUCAUGCGUGCAUAGAGGAAGGUAUUCCUUCGCGAACUAGUGGGCAGAUCCUUGUUGUGUGCAUUUUGUGUUAAUUCAACUCGAUUUUUUCUGUGUAUUAUUGAAGUCAGGCUAACUAUUACUCCAACGCUCUUAUAUUUCUUUAGGAGGGAGUACAAAUCAUCAGCAUUUCGCCCCCAUACAUCCGAAGUUCUUCAAAAGACUUAGCCCCUUUAACAAUCAUCAAGAGCAUGCGCAGGUAGUACAGUUCACCACUCAUAGCAUGUACAUAGUAAUCCCGCCCCCUUUCAUGCCAUGAUUUACUUUUAGCAUCCCAUGUCCACCCAAUCAGAAAAUCACAGUACGUAAAUGACCGACCAUGCUCAUAGAAUUCAUUGGCAACAAAACAUUUAGUGACCAUAGUUUUUUUCAAGAAGUCAGAACCAGCAAUUUUUGUAAUGUCAGCACCAGCACGAUAUCGAACAAUAUUCAUGCCAGGCAUAUGAACAGUUAAUCUUUCUACAGAGGGAAUUUUAAAGUGUAACGACACAAUCAAAUACUCUUUUACUUUAUCAAUUGAAAGAUAGCCGGUUACACAUCGAAUACUCUCCGAGCCAACCAGCAGCUGACACGCGAAGGGCCGACACAGGAAAUCCCCACACUGCCCUUGGCGGGCUCUCAAAACUACAGGCGGAGCCACCGCACGAUCCAGCGCUGAAGUCACACACCGCGGCUGGCCGCACACACGACGCCGACAAGAGGGCCCCACCAGGCAUCGAGCCCAUGCGACAGAGAGACACGACCUAAUGGGCGACAUGAGAAAAAGGAACGUAAUGUAGAGCAGGUACAAGUAAAAUUUUAUCCAACAGCCCAGCUCAUCCCAGAGCAGAUCAAACGACUCAGAUCGCAUCAAGUUCGAGAUCUGACGGUCCAAAUGGCCUGAGCUCCGAGAGAGCCCAUGUUUAGACAUGAAUCUAACUAUGGGAUACCCACCACCAGUGGCGGAGCUACGGGGGAGGGGGGCACUGNNNNNNNNNNNNNNNNNNNNNNNNNNNNNNNNNNNNNNNNNNNNNNNNNNNNNNNNNNNNNNNNNNNNNNNNNNNNNNNNNNNNNNNNNNNNNNNNNNNNNNNNNNNNNNNNNNNNNNNNNNNNNNNNNNNNNNNNNNNNNNNNNNNNNNNNNNNNNNNNNNNNNNNNNNNNNNNNNNNNNNNNNNNNNNNNNNNNNNNNNNNNNNNNNNNNNNNNNNNNNNNNNNNNNNNNNNNNNNNNNNNNNNNNNNNNNNNNNNNNNNNNNNNNUAAUUUCUGAAGAAUUUUUUUAGAGAAACUUAGAUUAAAUGUUUUUUUUUAACAUUUUGUGACCCCCUGUCCCCAGAGCACGCCGAGAGCACGAGCACCAGUUCACCAUCCGUGCAGAUGGAGGGCGGAGGCGCCGCAUCAGCUGAGGCGCAGAAGGGCGCGCCGGUUCCUGUCAGCCGCCGCCAAAGGCCUUUUGGCCGGCGCGGUUGACACGCCACCGGGAGAUGGACUACGCCAGCAUCGCCCGCUGAGCAUUCACCGUCGUCGUCAACGUCCUGGUCGACGAGCUCCUCGCCAGCCCACCGGACGCCACGGCGGGCGAAAGGACGCUGAACUACAUGCUCGAGGCGGCGGCGUUCAUCGGCGCAUGGUCACCUCAAACCCUUCUCUAUGUGAAUCUCAAUUAUAUAGACAAUGGAUGGUGGAAAACCAACUAAACUGGCGAUGUGGGCACCGAAAAAGGCUUCAGUAGCAGCCACUCAAGCAGACCCCUUAUAACACGGACUCUUUUAUCGUGUUUACAGUUUCCGGCAAAACGCGUUUUGCGGGUUUUGGCCGACCCUGCAUAACGGAACUGUAAAAAGUAGAAUUUUUGGCAUGCCAACAAAACUCGAUGACGCGACACUGAGACAAAACAUCUUCAGACUCAAACUCUCCUCUUUUUCUUCAGAAUUCGACUACGCGCAGAUAGAUGAAACGCAAAAGCUUCUUCAAGCGCGAAGCUUUCAGUGCUCAGUAGUUAAGUAAUAGCGGCUUUCAGUGCUCAGAUCUCACCGUAAAUUUGAAACGCUGUGUUUGAAAUCUCACAGAGGAAGAAUUCUCCCUUUCUUCAGAAAGGGAGAAGAUUUCGUCGCUGCCACUUCUUCGUGCAGAAAUAUACGCUCACGUACAGCAAAGAAACUUUCUUCGGACUAACACUCUGAAUUUGAUUAAUUAUCUCCGAAUUUUAUCAGAGGCAGUUUCAGUUCUAAAGCAUCAGAAAAGAAGGCAAAACAUUUGCAGACUUUUAAACUCCUGUUUUUCCUUCAGAAUUCGACCACAGGGGACGAACUCCCUCCGUUCUCACAUCUCAUACAUCCCCAAAACACACAAAGUGACACUGAUAUUUGACCCGAGAAUGAAACAAGAACGACACUGACACUCCAGCUAGACACGCAGCGACCAACAACCACUAGAACUCACUCACCCAUGGACAGACACGACACUGCUCAUCUUCUUCUCCUGGUUGCAAGGAAAUGAGACUCUUCUUCAAUCUUCAGUCGACCUCCUCCAUCUUGCUCUCCUCGGCGCCCUCCUCCUCCAGCGCGGGCAUGUCGGCAUCCUCCUCCUCGGCAUCCUGAUCAUCGAUGUUGAGGCCGAGCUUGAGCAUGCGGUGGAUCCUGGCGGCGAAGGUGUUGGGGUCGUCGAGGCUGAAGCCGGAGGUGAGCAGCGCCGUCUCGAAGAGCAGCAUCACGAGGUCCUUGACGGACUUGUCGUUCUUGUCGGCGUCGGCGCGCUUGCGGAGCUCCUCCAUGAUGCCGUUCUCCGGGUUGAUCUCCAUCGUCUUCUUGGAGGACAUGUAUGCGCCCAUGCUGCUGUCCCUCAGCGCCUGCGCCUUCAUGAUCCGCUCCAUGUUGGCCGUCCACCCGUACUCGCCGGUCACCAGGCAGCACGGCGAGUCCACGAUGCGGUCGGAUACGACCACCUUCUCCACCUUGUCGCCCAGGAUGUCCUUGAUGAUCUUGCAGAGGCCCUCGAACGCCGCCUUUUUUUCUUCCUUGCGCUUCUUCUCCUCCUCGGUCUCCUCGUCGAGCUUGAGGCCCUCCUUGGUGGCGGAGACGAGCUUCUUGCCGUCGUACUCCUUGAGCUGCCCCACGGCGUACUCGUCGAUGGCGUCCACCAUGAAGAGCACCUCGUAGCCGCGCUUCUUGAGGCGCUCCAGGAAGGGCGAGUUCUCCACGGCCUUGCGGCUCUCGCCGGUGAUGUAGUAGAUGUCCUUCUGGCCCUCCUUCAUCCGGGUGACGUAGUCCUUGAGGCUGGUGAGCUCGUCGCCGCUCUUGGUCGAGUGAUACCGGAGCAGGUCGGCGAGCUUGGCUCGGUUCUGGGAGUCCUCGUGCACGCCCAGCUUGAGGUUCUUGGAGAAUGCCUCGUAGAACUUGGCGUAGUCCUCCUUGUUCUCGGCGAUCUCGAAGAAGAGCUCGAUGCACUUCUUGACGAGGUUCUUGCGGAUGACCUUGAGGAUCUUGUUCUGCUGCAGCGUCUCGCGGGAGAUGUUGAGGGGGAGGUCGUCCGAGUCGACGACGCCCUUGACGAAGCCCAGCCACUCCGGGAUGAGCUCCUCGCAGUUGUCCAUGAUGAAGACGCGGCGCACGUAGAGCUUGAUGUUGUUCAUCUUCUUGCGGGUGUCGAAGAGGUCGAAGGGGGCGCGGCGGGGCACGAAGAGCACCGCCUUGAACUCCAGCUGCCCCUCCACCGAGAAGUGCUUCACGGCGAGGUGGUCCUCCCAGUCGUUGGUGAUGCUCUUGUAGAAGGACGCGUACUCCUCCUUGCUGAUCUCCUCCGGCUUGCGCAGCCAGAUGGGCUUCUGCUUGUUGAUCUGCGCCCACUCGUGGCUCACCUCCUUCACCUUCUUCGUCUUCUUCUUGCUCUCGUCCUUGUCCUUGUCAUCGUCGACCUCCUCGACCUCGCCUUCCUUCUUCUCCUCGGAAGCGUCUUCGUCUUCGUCGUCGCUGAUCUCCUUCUCGGUGGUCUUCUCGGUCCAGAGGUAGAUGGGGUAGCUGAUGAACUCCGAGUGCUUCUUGACGAGGUCCUUGAGGCGGCGCUCCUCGAGGUACUCGAGCUGGUCGUCCUUGAGGAAGAGCGUGAUCUUGGUGCCGCGGCCGAGCCGCUCGCCCUCCGUGUCGAGGGUGACGGUGAAGGAGCCGCCGGCCUGCGACUCCCACACGUACUGCUCGUCGUCGUUGUGCUUGGUGGUGACCACCACCUUGUCGGCGACGAGGUAGGCCGAGUAGAAGCCGACCCCGAACUGGCCGAUCAUGCUCACGUCCGCGCCCGCCUGCAGCGCCUCCAUGAACUCCUUGGUGCCCGAGCGCGCGAUGGUGCCCAGGUUGUUCACAAGGUCUGCGGCCACGGCAAACAAUCAUAAGAGAUUUGGUCAUCGUCAUCAGAUCAGAGGCAAAUGGAAGUUCAGUCUGAAACUCUAGAUUAGUUGUCGUCAGACAUUCAGACAUUCAGCAACGACUGAACAUUUAAAUUCAGGCAGACAUUCAGCAACGAUGACACCUCUAAAUUCAGGCAGACAUUCAGCAACGAUGACACAUCUAAAUUCAGACAGACAUUCAGGGAUUCAGCAACAAUAGCACAUAAUGAAUUCAGCCACCAUCCAUGAUUGAUGGAUUGAGAGUGGAAGAGGAUGCGGCCAUAGAUAGAUAGAUAGAUGGAUACCUGACUUGGUCAUGCCGACGCCGCUGUCGAUGAUGGAGAGCGUCUUGUUGGCCUUGUCGGGGACGAGGCGGAUGAAGAGCUCCGGCUGCGCGUCGAGCUUGCUCUUGUCUGUCAGGCUCUCGAACCGGAUCUUGUCAAGCGCCUGCAAGCAAAGCAUCAUUGGGUGUGAGCAAAUCAAGCAACAAAUGAAUCAUCUCUGACUCUGACGACGAACGAACAGACAAGGCAGAGAAGCAGAGGAAACAGAGCAAGGAAGGAACAGACAGAGGAGGAAGGAAGGAAGAGAGGAGAACAUACGUCUGACGAGUUUGAUAUGAGCUCGCGGAGGAAGAUCUCCUUGUUGGAGUAGAAGGUGUUGAUGAUGAGCGAGAGCAGCUGGUUGAUCUCCGCCUGGAACGCGAAGGUCUCCGUCUCCAUCUGCACGUCCGACGCCAUUGCCGUCUCCGCUGCCACUUCUCGAAGGGAAAUUGGGGGAAGAUGGCUGGGUGGGCUGCUGAUUCCUCGGCCGAUUCGCUGCGUUGAUUGCUCUGAUCGCUUGCUUGUCGCGCUGCGGGAAGAGGUUUGGGGACAGACAGAUUGACGAACAGGUGGCGGGCGGGAGGAUUUAUACCCCGGAGAUGGGAUCGCUAGGGGCCUUCGCAGGUGUUCUGGUGCCUUCCACGGAUUACCGGCACGAGCUCCGGCGCGCGUUCGCGGGCGUUCCCGAAGCUUCUUGUGGUCUCUCCCCCCUCCCGCUCCGUUGGUGCGGAGAGCGGCGAGGCGGUCGCCUUGGCCUGCCCGAGCCUUGUCCCGAAGCUUCUACAUACUACAAUGGACCUUAGCAGAAAUGGGGAGGCUGCUAUAUCUCGCUUGUACGCACGCGUAUGGGCCGGCCCAGGAUGCCCAAACCAGAAAGCAAAAGUGAAUAGGUGGUAGAGGGUGUGUGUGUUGCUGUGUCAAAUUGAGAUUGUGUGGGCGUUCGCUCAAGUUCGACGCCAUCAAGAAUCAUCAUUGGACGGAUGCCCACCCCUCAAAAAUAAAAAAUAAAACCAUUGGAUGGAUGCCCGGGCGUUGAGAAGGCGGGGCGCUCUUGGAUGCGGAGAGAACAAUGCCAAAGAGAACUCGGCAAAUGACCUCGUAAGUUCGGGUUUCUAUCGGGGCUUCCUUUAAUUUCUUGCCGCUUUCUACGCGAGCAUCUUGUAAAAUACAUGGGUAACUUAUGUUAAACAUAAGACAAGCGUUUUUACAAUGCGUGAUGAAACUAUUUUUAAUAUGGCAUGCAUUUUCUAUAUACACAUGGACCAUUUUAAUAUGAGAUUAACAUGUUUUCGUACAUUACAAGCAUCCGUUAAGUUCAUGAAAAUUUUUUGAGACAUGAUGAACACAUUAUAAGUUCACGAUGAACAUUCUUAACACACCAUUUAAGUACAUUCUUUAAGACAAUUUGAACAUUUUUAAUACACGUGUCAACAUUUUGUCAAGACAAGAUGACUUGAACGUUUUUACUUUAACAUCUUUCUACAUUAUUGUUCGUGAUGUUCAUCGAUUUCAAUAGAAACACAAAAAAGUGUUCAUGAUGCUUUUAUAAAGGUUCGUGAUGUUCAUUGAUUUCAAUAGAAACAUGAAUUAUUGUUCAUGAUAUUUCUUAAUGUUCAUUGAUUCGAAUUAGUGUUCAUUUAAAUGUUCGUGAUCUUCAUUGAUUUCAAUAGAAACACGAAUUAGUGUUGAUGAAAUUUUUAAAAAAUGCUAAAAAAGGAAAAAAAUAUGUUCGUGAAUUUCAAAAUUUGUUCCCACAUUUCAAAAAAACUUCGCCAGUUCAGAAAAUGUCUCCGAUUCAAAAAUAAUGAAUUCAGAAAAGUGUUCAUGCAUAUGAAAAAAAGUUCAUCAAACAAAGUGUUCAUGAUUUUAAAAAAUUGUACGCCGAUUUCAAAAAUAUUCACGAGUUCAAAAAAAUGUUUGCAAUUUCAGAAAAAACAUUCAUGAAUUUGUAAAGAAGUUCAUGAAUUCAAAAAAUGUUCAUGAUUUCGAAAAAUAUUUGAAAAACUUGAAAAAAUGUUCAUGAUUUAAAAUCAAGUGAUCAAGAAUUUGAAAAAGUACUCAUGAUUUUAAAACAAAUGUUCACAAAUGACGCAUUACAAGUCCUUAGUAUGAGAAUCAUAUUCGAGGAAGAGACACACAAGGAUUCUCGAAGAGAAAGGAGCUGCUCUAGAGGAUCUAAUCCUCAACGAAGAGCCAGGCGCUGAAUUUGAGAUCAUCAAGGCAUUCAAACCAAUCGGUUAUUGCCGGUGUCUUUUCUUCUUUUCAACAAAAUUCCCUUUCCUUCUCGUGUUGGCGGCGCCGCCGAUUCGCCCCACCUUCGAUGGCCUUUGGGCCGUGGAGGUGCGGAGGACCCCCUCCCCCCCCGCCCCCGCCGCGCUACGAGAGGGACCCCGUUCUCUUUUUUGUUAGAUACAACAUCUUGGUUGGGGCUGUGUGGUGGUGAUGAUGUCCCUUAGUAGGAAUAAUGUUUCCCACGUCCUAUCCCCCGCCCCAAUGGUGCGAAUAACAUCGUCGGAGGAUGUGUGGAGGUGUGUCUCCGCUGGACCUCACGGAUUCGGUCGGUGUUAGUCUUCGAUGGAUCUGUUUGGAUCUAGUUCAUCUUCGAUCUACAACUCUCUUCAUCGGCGAUGAUUACUGCUCUGAUGCGAUGGUCCUUUGGGGCCUUAGCACGACGACUACCCCACUGUCUACUACAAAAAGAUUUGCCCGGCUUCAGUGAGGGAGUGGGGAUGACGGCGGCGCGCCUUCAGCACACUCGAGUGCUUAUAGUCGUCGCUAGAUGGUCCAUGUACUUGGUUGUGAUUUUAAUUACCUCUAGUGUUCUUUGUAUGACAUGAUUGAUGAAUAGAUUGAAAAAUUUUCUCGCAAAAGAAAGGCAUUCAAACCAAGCGAAGAAUGCACUCCUACAAAAGGAUCUAAUUAUUUUUACCUGAUUCCUAUCAAAUCUCAAUGCCCGUAAUGAUGCACACUGUUGCCCACCAUUUGUGUGGAGACCAUCUCAAUUAUCACCAUCUCCCAAACUGGAUUUUGUUUUCUAAAAUUUAGGUUAAACCAGGUACAUAUUUUAUUUUUUUAAAGUAAAAUGUGAAAAGUUUGCAUGGAAAACGAUUUUUGAAAAAAAAAGGAGCAAAUGGUGGUAGAUUGGACAAAUCGUGCUCAAGAAGUUUUUGGGCCAACAAUAAUGCCUAGUAGAUCAAAAGUUGACUCCGGAGAUGGGCCCAGGCAAAGAGUGGGCUUUCAAGGUUCCGCUAGGGUUUAACGCCCUCGACGCCGCCGCACGCUCCGAAGGAGAAGAAAAGAAAUGGCAUCCUUGGCCCGCGCCGCCGCCACCGCCGCCAGAGCGGCCCUCCGCCCGGCGCCCCUCGCCGGCCGGGGCCUCGGCCUCGGCUCCUCCCUGCCGUCUUCCUCCCCCGCACGGGCCGCCCGAAUCCUCCGCAGGUAUGCUGUCCAGUAGUCAGUAGAUGAGUGGAUCGAUGGGCGUGGCUGUGUGUGUGACAUCGAGGUUUCCUGCAGGUCGGCGGUGGCGGGGCUGGAGACGCUGCUGCCCCUGCACACGGCGGUGGCGUCGGCGCGCCUCAAGUCCUGCAUCGCCGUCGACUCCACCUGCUGGUGCUCCCUCUCCCAAGGUACCAAACCCGCGCGGCGCCUUAUCCACCCCCCUUUCAGUUUUUCUGGUUAUCCACAUUUGCACUAGUUGAAUGUGUCAGCCUCAGAUUAAUUUAUAUAUCCACCAAGAACAACCCUGUAAAAUCCUGGAGUUUGACAGUUACAACUGAGUACAAUGUUGAGCGGUGUGUGGUAUUACAUUCCGAUGGGGAAUAGCUGUUAUCGACAUGCAAACCUGCACACAAGAGAGUGAAUCCUGUUGAUGCUACAUGGUUUAUGAGGUUCGAUAUGGAAAUGCGGUGUUGCUGUGGAGGGAUUCAGUUACUGACAUGCAUAAUAGUUGAAUAUACGGCGGUGAGAAGUAUUGUUCAUUCUUAGUCGAGACUAAAUUGCCAAGUUUGUAAACCUUUAUAUCUGUGAGUGAUAUAUAAUGAUCCCUUACCCUAUAAUGAUAAGAUUCUAGAACACCUUGAGGCUAGCUGUUCGUUAAUACCUGCUGGUUGUUACUAUCGCUCUUUUUUAUGAAGGCAGUUAGUAUUUAACAUCUAUCGUUUCAGCGCCAAGCGACCAAACAAUGUUUUGUUUCUGGUCAGUUAGGAUGAUUCGUCCGCUUCUAUCCAUUGUCCUCAACUAAUUCCGUGUAUUAGUUCAUGUUUGGUUAAUUUUAUAGUAUGUGGGACCAUGUGUUUUCUUUGCUUGACUUUAUCUAUCAGUGACAGCAUAUUCAUGGCACUAUGCAGUUUUAGUAAGCUGUGUGCUUCAUAGUAGAAAAAUCAAUUCAAAAUGUUGUACUUCUUGAUCUUCAUAAGUCUGAACAGUUAAGGAUCGAUGAAGAAUGAACUUGAUUGGCUUAGUUUUCCCAAUUGCAGUAGUGUCAGAUCCUUGGUUUUCAUGAUCUAGAUACCUGUAUAUUUCAUAUCUUUUUACUUGACGAUUUUUGUCAUAUUUCUUGGAACGGAUCCAUGGGCACCUUACACUUUGGAUUUGAGCGAGUAGUUUUUGGUUGUUGUGAUAUCCGGAUGGUUACCUAAGAAUAUCCAUUUUGUAUCACUUUACCUAGAGACAACACCAAAAGUAACAUCUGCAACCCUUUGUGUGUUUCCUCAUUCACAUAGUUAAUUUUACUUUUCCUACCACCUGUCCCCUCCUAACAGUUCUCACCAUGCUCUCUCUUGUACUUCACCCAAUCACUCCCCAACUAGAAUUCCAGGUGACAUGGCAGGAAAACGGUAGCCUACGUAGCCUAUGUUAUAUACUGAGGUUGACGAGCUAUAUGGCAUGUUUACAUUAAGAAUUUUGCCAUGGUAGAGUAGUAAUUGUGAUGUUCCUGGGCUCCAUCAAACAAAUAUGUCAUCCUGUCCCGGCAGCAAGGAUAGUAUUUUCAAGUCUUAUGCCCCCAAAUGUAGUUCUCAGUAAUGCAGGUCACUCGUUUAACUUUUGACAGCUGUUUCUCUUUUGGUGUCAGUAAUGCAUAUAAGAUGCUGCUAGUUUUGUGUGUCAGUAAUACAUACUCCUUUAUUCAACCAGGAAAUAUCAAAUUGAUCAAUUAAUGCUACUAAGUGAAUUGAAAUGGUUAUUGUCCAUUGUUUCCUUUUGAAAAGGAUUGGGGUAUUUAUCUAUUGACUAUGGUUGUUAUAGGUUUUAAAAAGCGCGUCUGAUCAUGGUUAGGAGCUGUGCAGCUGAGAAGUGAAGACACCGAGUUAGUGCAUUUGUUUGCUGAUAGUUCUUAGACAUGUGUCCCAUCUAUUUUGCCAUUGCUCUCGAUGAAUGUACUCUUAACAAAAUAAUGCAUACUGUUUUUUGUGUGUCAUAUACUGAAUAUUGUGGUCUUGCUUGGCAGACCAGAGUCCUUUUAUUCAACCAGUAAUGCAUAUCAAAAUGUUAGUUUUGUGUGCCAGUAAUAACAUAUUGAAUAUUGACAUCUUGCUUGGUAGACUAGACUCCUAUACAGCGAGGAAAUAUCGAAUUGAUCAUGUCUAGUUACUAAGUGAGUUGAACAUGAGAUGUUUGUGGUUGGCACCAAGUGAAUUGAAAUGCUUAUUCUCCGUUUUUUCUUAUCGGAAAGGAUGGGGUAUUUAUCUAUUGACUAUGGUUGUUAUAGGUUUUAAAAAGCGCAUCUGAUCAUGGUUAGGAGCUGCACAGCUGAGAAGUGAAGACACCGAGUUAAAAACAAAGUGCAUCUGUUUGCCGAUAGUGCCUAGAAUAUGUAUCACAUCUAUUUUGCCAUUGCUCUCAGUGAAUGUACUCUUAUAACAAAAUAAUGGAGCAUGCCACAAGUUGCCCCCUUGUCUCUGGGACAUUGUUUUUUUGUUGAGCCUGGAAAAACCUUGGAA